AAUGUCCGCCUUCAGCUUGAAUGCACGCCUCACAUCGACGAAGUAAAGAUUCUAUCACACGACGUAUGAUUUUUGGAUCAUUCCGUAUGCUAUUAGCUGCAUCUUGAAUUCUGUCCAGUAGUUGCUGACGGGUAGUCAUUUCUACAUGGUACACAAGCUGCUUCAUGUGUCCCCAGAAAUAAUAAUCCAGCGGAUUUAGAUCUGGGGAUCGUGGUGGCCAGACUACUGGCCAAUCUAAUUAACUACCUCCAUUGCCAAUCCAUUUGUUUGGAAAAUGUUCAUGUAACCAAGCGAUGACUUCUCUUCCUCGAUGUGGUGGUGCACCAUCGUGCUGAUACCACAUAUUUUGAACGAUGUUAAGUGGUACAUCGUCGAUAAAAUCGAAAAGGUUAUGUCCCAAGAAAUUUCUGUACAUAUUUGCAUUUAAGCGUUCAUUUAUCACCCAUACAGGUAGCAAAGAAUUGUUAAAAAUGCCACCCCAAACGUUUACACUAAACCGUUGCUGAAAUCUUCCUGGUCUAAUUGCAUGUGGAUUUUGCAAGGACUACACAUGUUCGUUAUGAUAAUUAUUUAUGCCGUCCCUAUUUAAUCGUAAGUUAUCUUGAAUUAUAGACAUGAAAAUUAACUUAAUUAAUUAAAUUAAGGAAAGUUACCACUUAUCUGAUAAAUAACUUUUAGGUUAUGUUGAAACUCAAUUCGAUCGAAUCGGUCCCUCUUAGGAAUAAAAAAUGGACAGGAAUCGGGAAAGCUUCGGUUCGGAUAAUUAUUCUUCAAUCGGAUCUUGUUGCGAGAGUGCGGAAAUUUUUCAGGAACACAGGUUAUAUAAAAUCGUGAUUCGACGUUAAAUUUGGAUUGAAAUCGGAGAACCAAUUUAAGCGGUGCAUUGGAGGUUUCAAGAUUCUCCAACCACAAAAGAAGUUUGAAUUUUACAAAUUUUAAAUUCAAUUUUCAAAGUCAAAAUCGUUCAAAAUCUUUCGGAAUCUAAUAAAUUAGAUGUAGCUGACACUGAUUUUACCGUUUUGGAUGGUUUAGAAAGGAUAUUAACAGUUUUGAGAGAAUUAUGAGUAACUAAAAAGUAACUGUCAACUAAAUUGAGGUUAUGUUUCUUUCUCAGGUGAAACUUGUCUCGGAAGCUUUAUUAUAAUACCAUCUCUCAAGAUUGGGCAA
Molecule: non-coding RNA, 1167 nt
Organism: Onthophagus taurus
Lineage: Eukaryota; Metazoa; Arthropoda; Insecta; Coleoptera; Scarabaeidae
Source: RefSeq, a predicted model, not a curated record